This is a long non-coding RNA of Rhinopithecus roxellana (golden snub-nosed monkey), 597 nucleotides long. RefSeq lists it as uncharacterized. The transcript has 4 exons. The record is from RefSeq and is a predicted model, not a curated record. NCBI's taxonomy places the organism in Eukaryota, Metazoa, Chordata, Mammalia, Primates, Cercopithecidae.
GUGCUGCCUGCCCCACUGUGCCAUGGGCCCCGGGCUCCUCUGCUGAGCACUGCUUUGUCUCCUGGGAGCAGGUCCAGUGGACACUGAAGUCACCCAAAGUCCCACACACCUGAUCAAAACGAGAGGACAGCAGUAAAAUUUAAUUUUGGAUUUUCACCACCAAGAAUAAAUGUACCUGAAAUACGUCUCACGUAAGAAAUAAGACAGAGACCUAGGAAUGGGAGGGAAGGACAUAUGUUCAGUGAAAAAGCAACAGCCUGUCCAACACAGCCCUGAAGUAGACACCCGGAGCUGAUGGUGGAGAGGUUGGUCUAUAUAGACCUAACUGUUUGGAUGAACGGAGGCAAGAUGGCGCACUUCCGGGUUCUUCAUCCCCCAACUUUUCCAGCGUGCGCGAAAAUCCAGCCGGCGACCUGGGAAGGUGCAGACCAACUAGGCAUGCGCCAGGUGAUGUCAAUCUGAAGAGACCAAGAUUUACCUGUUCGCACCUGUGGAACACCCCCUGACAUGCCCGUGCCCUGCCUAUUGCUCUCCCACUCCUAGAAAAGCCGCUCCAGAGGCACGCCACGCACGACCUUCCUCAGUCCUCCACUCCUG